GCAUGGGGGAUGAUGACCAAAAAGGCCGAAUUGCAGCGUCUCCAGAGCAGUUGACUCUCUGUGGGAGACGCCAUGACAAAUCCUCCUGAAGCGAAACAUGGCUGACCUCUGC
Small nucleolar RNA from Bufo bufo (common toad), 112 nucleotides. RefSeq annotates it as small nucleolar RNA SNORD89. The transcript has a single exon. Lineage: Eukaryota; Metazoa; Chordata; Amphibia; Anura; Bufonidae. The record is from RefSeq and is a predicted model, not a curated record.